This 189-nucleotide non-coding RNA is filed under the name Carnobacteriaceae bacterium zg-C25. Its description in RNAcentral is "6S / SsrS RNA". It matches the Rfam family "6S / SsrS RNA". Rfam says of the family: E. coli 6S RNA was the first non coding RNA to be sequenced, but its function was unknown until recently. Lineage: Bacteria; Bacillati; Bacillota; Bacilli; Lactobacillales; Carnobacteriaceae. The record is from Rfam by way of RNAcentral. RNAcentral also lists the same sequence under 2 other names.
AAACGACUGAGAUGUGCGUCGUACUUUCAUAUGUGUUGACCUUACGUUUGUUUUUGAUUAGGGAUUUUAAUGACUCAUGUGCUAACAUGCCUUUUCACUUGGUAGUUAAAUAGCAUGCGCUGAAAAGCCCACCUGUUUUCUUACAGGUUCAAAACUAUAAAGUACACGAAACGGCAUUUCGGUUUUUUA